UACGGGGGGGGCAAGCGUUGUUCGGAAUUACUGGGCGUAAAGGGCUCGUAGGCGGCCAACUAAGUCAGACGUGAAAUCCCUCGGCUUAACCGGGGAACUGCAUCUGAUACUGGAUGGCUUGAGUUCUGGAGAGGGUCGUGGAAUUCCCGGUGUAGCGGUGAAAUGCGUAGAGAUCGGGAGGAACACCAGAGGCGAAGGCGGCGACCUGGACAGUUCCUGACGCUGAGGCACGAAGGCCAGGGGAGCAAACGGG
RNAcentral lists this ribosomal RNA (253 nucleotides) under uncultured bacterium. Its description in RNAcentral is "partial 16S ribosomal RNA". It matches the Rfam family "Bacterial small subunit ribosomal RNA", at positions 524 to 776 of the family's 1533-position model. The record is from RNAcentral.